RNAcentral lists this unclassified non-coding RNA (304 nucleotides) under uncultured fungus. RNAcentral's name for it is "partial contains 5.8S ribosomal RNA, internal transcribed spacer 2, and large subunit ribosomal RNA". Lineage: Eukaryota; Fungi. The record is from RNAcentral.
AACGCACCUUGCGCUCUUGGGCCAUUCCUAAGAGCAUGCCUGUUUGAGUGUCGUGAACUCCUCAACCCUGGUUGGAUUUUGAAUCUGACUGGUGGCUUGGACUUGGGGGUUGCUGGCCGUUUUGAUUCGGUCUGGCUCUCCUUGAAUGUAUUAGCUUGGACUUGUUACUAAGGCUGCAUAGCGUGAUAACUAUCUACGCUUUGUUUGUGUCUUUGAAACAAUGUAGAGUCUAGCUUCUAAUCGUCCUCUGGACAACACUUCAAUCUUUGACCUCAAAUCAGGUAGGACUACCCGCUGAACUUAA